AACGAACGCUGGCGGCAGGCCUAACACAAGCAAGUCGAACGAACCGUUUACGGUGAGUGGCGCACGGGUGAGUAACACGGGGGAAUAUACAUUUCGGUAAGGAAUAACGUAGAGAAAUUUACGCUAAUACCGUAUAAUGACUACGGUCCAAAGAUUUAUCGCCGAAGGAUUAGCCAGCGUUAGAUUAGGUAGUUGGUAGGGUAAUGGCCUACCAAGCCUACGAUCUAUAGCCGGUCUUAGAGGAUGAUCAGCCACACUGGAACUGAGACACGGUCCAGACUCCUACGGGAGGCAGCAGUGAGGAGUAUUGCCCAAUGGGGGAAACCCUGACGCAGCCAUGCCGCGUGAGUGACGAAGGCCGUAGGGUUGUAAAGCUCUUUCAGAUGUAAAGAUAAUGACGGUAACAUCAGAAGAAGCUCCGGCUAAAUUCGUGCCAGCAGCCGCAGUAA
RNAcentral lists this ribosomal RNA (449 nucleotides) under uncultured bacterium. RNAcentral describes it as "partial 16S ribosomal RNA". It matches the Rfam family "Bacterial small subunit ribosomal RNA", at positions 29 to 523 of the family's 1533-position model. The record is from RNAcentral.